AGGCGCAGCGAGAACCGCAAGGGGGAAACCCGACGAGCGACGCCGCGGCAGGAGAAGGCCCGGGGAAUCGCGCGAACGGGAGAAAAAGCAACCAAACAGCAGAGACGGACCGGGAGGAAGCCCCGGCCAACAC
Molecule: ribosomal RNA, 133 nt
Filed under: uncultured bacterium
Lineage: Bacteria
Description: partial 16S ribosomal RNA
Source: RNAcentral